GAGCAACUUAGGAUUUUAGGCUCCGCCGCGCCCGGCCCGUUCCCGGCGCGGCGCAAAACCCGCUUGAGGCUGGCGGUCUUGGGCGUGGUCAAAAUCUAUCCGCCGGAG
RNAcentral lists this non-coding RNA (108 nucleotides) under uncultured Gemmiger sp. RNAcentral describes it as "PreQ1-III riboswitch". It matches the Rfam family "PreQ1-III (pre queuosine) riboswitch aptamer". Lineage: Bacteria; Bacillati; Bacillota; Clostridia; Eubacteriales; Oscillospiraceae. The record is from RNAcentral.